AAAGGAGAAAAAUACAAAAAUCUCAUUCUUUUUCGCUAUUUUGUCUUCUUCCUUUUUUGCUGCCUUGGCUUGUUGUUUGUUGUAGGUACUAGAGUACGGAGGUGGUGGCGUGGCGCGCGUAGAGAGGAAGGUCAAAGGCGGCGCGUUGCGAGGCUGCUGCGGCGACUUAGUUUCCAGAAACCCUAGGGUUUCUGUUUGUGAUUUUGUUUUGGGCUUAGAUGAUUAGGGCCAAAGUUAGGUGUUAGGUUAAUUGGGUUGGGGAUAUUGGGCUAGGCUAGUGUUUAGGUUAAAAACGAUUUGGGCCAUGUUGGGCCUAUGUAUUUGGACUGUGGAUAUUUAAUUAUUUUUUCUUGCUUUUUUU
Molecule: long non-coding RNA, 361 nt
Filed under: Gossypium raimondii (Peruvian cotton)
Lineage: Eukaryota; Viridiplantae; Streptophyta; Magnoliopsida; Malvales; Malvaceae
Description: long non-coding RNA (GRAI_LNC001474)
Source: RNAcentral